AUGCCGCGUGAGUGAAGAAGGUCUUAGGAUCGUAAAGCUCUUUCGCCAGGGAUGAUAAUGACAGUACCUGGUAAAGAAACCCCGGCUAACUCCGUGCCAGCAGCCGCGGUAAUACGGAGGGGGUUAGCGUUGUUCGGAAUUACUGGGCGUAAAGCGCGCGUAGGCGGAUCAGAAAGUUGGGGGUGAAAUCCCAGGGCUCAACCCUGGAACUGCCUCCAAAACUCCUGGUCUUGAGUUCGAGAGAGGUGAGUGGAACUCCGAGUGUAGAGGUGAAAUUCGUAGAUAUUCGGAAGAACACCAGUGGCGAAGGCGGCUCACUGGCUCGAUACUGACGCUGAGGUGCGAAAGUGUGGGGAGCAAACAGGAUUAGAUACCCUGGUAGUCCACACCGUAAACGAUGAAUGCCAGUCGUCGGGUAGCAUGCUAUUCGGUGACACACCUAACGGAUUAAGCAUUCCGCCUGGGGAGUACGGUCGCAAGAUUAAAACUCAAG
This 493-nucleotide ribosomal RNA is filed under the name Roseovarius nubinhibens. RNAcentral describes it as "bacterial SSU rRNA". It matches the Rfam family "Bacterial small subunit ribosomal RNA", at positions 394 to 905 of the family's 1533-position model. The record is from RNAcentral. Lineage: Bacteria; Pseudomonadati; Pseudomonadota; Alphaproteobacteria; Rhodobacterales; Roseobacteraceae.